RNAcentral lists this ribosomal RNA (1540 nucleotides) under Escherichia coli RS218. RNAcentral describes it as "bacterial SSU rRNA". It matches the Rfam family "Bacterial small subunit ribosomal RNA". Lineage: Bacteria; Pseudomonadati; Pseudomonadota; Gammaproteobacteria; Enterobacterales; Enterobacteriaceae. The record is from RNAcentral.
AAUUGAAGAGUUUGAUCAUGGCUCAGAUUGAACGCUGGCGGCAGGCCUAACACAUGCAAGUCGAACGGUAACAGGAAGCAGCUUGCUGCUUUGCUGACGAGUGGCGGACGGGUGAGUAAUGUCUGGGAAACUGCCUGAUGGAGGGGGAUAACUACUGGAAACGGUAGCUAAUACCGCAUAACGUCGCAAGACCAAAGAGGGGGACCUUAGGGCCUCUUGCCAUCGGAUGUGCCAGAUGGGAUUAGCUAGUAGGUGGGGUAACGGCUCACCUAGGCGACGAUCCCUAGCUGGUCUGAGAGGAUGACCAGCCACACUGGAACUGAGACACGGUCCAGACUCCUACGGGAGGCAGCAGUGGGGAAUAUUGCACAAUGGGCGCAAGCCUGAUGCAGCCAUGCCGCGUGUAUGAAGAAGGCCUUCGGGUUGUAAAGUACUUUCAGCGGGGAGGAAGGGAGUAAAGUUAAUACCUUUGCUCAUUGACGUUACCCGCAGAAGAAGCACCGGCUAACUCCGUGCCAGCAGCCGCGGUAAUACGGAGGGUGCAAGCGUUAAUCGGAAUUACUGGGCGUAAAGCGCACGCAGGCGGUUUGUUAAGUCAGAUGUGAAAUCCCCGGGCUCAACCUGGGAACUGCAUCUGAUACUGGCAAGCUUGAGUCUCGUAGAGGGGGGUAGAAUUCCAGGUGUAGCGGUGAAAUGCGUAGAGAUCUGGAGGAAUACCGGUGGCGAAGGCGGCCCCCUGGACGAAGACUGACGCUCAGGUGCGAAAGCGUGGGGAGCAAACAGGAUUAGAUACCCUGGUAGUCCACGCCGUAAACGAUGUCGACUUGGAGGUUGUGCCCUUGAGGCGUGGCUUCCGGAGCUAACGCGUUAAGUCGACCGCCUGGGGAGUACGGCCGCAAGGUUAAAACUCAAAUGAAUUGACGGGGGCCCGCACAAGCGGUGGAGCAUGUGGUUUAAUUCGAUGCAACGCGAAGAACCUUACCUGGUCUUGACAUCCACGGAAGUUUUCAGAGAUGAGAAUGUGCCUUCGGGAACCGUGAGACAGGUGCUGCAUGGCUGUCGUCAGCUCGUGUUGUGAAAUGUUGGGUUAAGUCCCGCAACGAGCGCAACCCUUAUCCUUUGUUGCCAGCGGUCCGGCCGGGAACUCAAAGGAGACUGCCAGUGAUAAACUGGAGGAAGGUGGGGAUGACGUCAAGUCAUCAUGGCCCUUACGACCAGGGCUACACACGUGCUACAAUGGCGCAUACAAAGAGAAGCGACCUCGCGAGAGCAAGCGGACCUCAUAAAGUGCGUCGUAGUCCGGAUUGGAGUCUGCAACUCGACUCCAUGAAGUCGGAAUCGCUAGUAAUCGUGGAUCAGAAUGCCACGGUGAAUACGUUCCCGGGCCUUGUACACACCGCCCGUCACACCAUGGGAGUGGGUUGCAAAAGAAGUAGGUAGCUUAACCUUCGGGAGGGCGCUUACCACUUUGUGAUUCAUGACUGGGGUGAAGUCGUAACAAGGUAACCGUAGGGGAACCUGCGGUUGGAUCACCUCCUUA